Molecule: ribosomal RNA, 574 nt
Filed under: uncultured bacterium
Lineage: Bacteria
Description: partial 16S ribosomal RNA
Rfam family: Bacterial small subunit ribosomal RNA
Source: RNAcentral
UGGGGAAUUUUGGACAAUGGGCGCAAGCCUGAUCCAGCCAUGCCGCGUGCGGGAAGAAGGCCUUCGGGUUGUAAACCGCUUUGUCAGGGAAGAAAUCUUCUGAGUUAAUACCUCGGGAGGAUGACGGUACCUGAAGAAUAAGCACCGGCUAACUACGUGCCAGCAGCCGCGGUAAUACGUAGGGUGCAAGCGUUAAUCGGAAUACUGGGCGUAAAGCGUGCGCAGGCGGUUUUGUAAGACAGAGGUGAAAUCCCCGGGCUCAACCUGGGAACUGCCUUUGUGACUGCAAGGCUUGAGUGCGGCAGAGGGGGAUGGAAUUCCGCGUGUAGCAGUGAAAAUGCGUAGAUAUGCGGAGGAACACCGAUGGCGAAGGCAAUCCCCUGGGCCUGCACUGACGCUCAUGCACGAAAGCGUGGGGAGCAAAACAGGAUUAGAUAGCCCUGGUAGUCCACGCCCUAAAACGAUGUCAACUGGUUGUUGGGAAGGUUCCUUCUCAGUAACGUAGCUAACGCGUGAAGUUGACCGCCUGGGGAGUACGGCCGCAAGGUUGAAACUCAAAUGAAUUGACGGGGGC